UGAAUAUUGGAGCUAAAAUUUGGUGCCAUGACUUUGGGGAUUUUCGGCCAAAUCCAAAGGGUGGAAUUUUGGGUUCUUGUUUGACUUGUUAAAAGUGUUUUCAAGUGACUUUUGGAACCCCUAUGUACCCUAGUUUGGUUAGAUGUUAUUUCCCUAAAGUUUGAAUGGUUUUGGAAUGUUUUGGGUGGAAAAAGUUCAUGGAAAAAUUUUGGGUUUUUCAUGAAUGUUCUUCAUUGUUCUUGACAUUUUUGCCAAGAACAAAAAGGUUUGUGUUUUGAUUCAAAGUUUUGAUUUAUUUCAUAAAGUUUAUGUUUUAUGUUUUUCAAAUGUUUUAAUGCAUUAGACAUUUAUUUGAAAGGUGAUGGAAAUGGUGAUGGGUGUGUAAGGAUUAAUUCCCUUUCACACACACCACUUGCACCACUUGCAUGCUUUAUGUCAAAACUCACAAAUCAACACACACAUCACUCCAUUUCUUCUUCCAAAACCGGCCCUCCCUCAAGUGGGAGUACUUUUGGGGCUUUUAUGCAAUUACAUAAAGUUUUGAUACUUUUGUGUAUUUGCACUUUGGCCCAAAAGUUUACGUUUUUACGUUAAGGUCCAAAAACGCUAAAGGACAAAUUGUUUUGAUCCUUUAAUGAAGUUUUUGCAUUGAUUAAAUUUUGGGUUCUAUUGUAAUUACAUGAAGUAGUGGACUUUUGUGUCUUUACAAAGUGACCCCAAAAGUUUUGCAACAUAGCCCAAAAGUUGAGGUUAAUUGCUUUAUGACCCAAAUAAGUUGUGGUUAUUGCAUAUUGGCCCAAAUUAAGUAGAGAACAAAAUUGUUUUGUCUCUUUAAAUGAG
This 840-nucleotide long non-coding RNA is filed under the name Malus domestica (apple). Its description in RNAcentral is "long non-coding RNA (MDOM_LNC013074)". Lineage: Eukaryota; Viridiplantae; Streptophyta; Magnoliopsida; Rosales; Rosaceae. The record is from RNAcentral.